AAGCAAAUGGGGAUGCGGUGAGACAAAAAGUAAAAUGUGUAAUUACCAUCUAAGGGUGAAAUGUAAAGUACGACAGUAUUUCUUGCACAGGCUUAACAUAGCAGUCGGACAGCUUCUUCCUUCAAAUGGCAAAAAAUACUGGAAGCUGAGAAAGAAAACUUGAAUUGCUGAAAGGUCCAUAACGACAAAAUGGAAUUGUGCAUGUUAUCCUGAACAGACAAUUAUGAACAGGGUGGUUUUCCGUCAAACAUGAAAGAACAAUAAAUCUAAUAAUUAGUAGUAGUUUGUAAUAGGCCAAUACUAAUAGUCUAGUCUAGAGUAGACCUGUAUCCGAUUGAUAGGUAUCAACAUAUUCAUCACAAAAACAAGUUUUAUUUAUUUUAAUGGUCAUUUUGUUAUGGUAACUAAAUAAACAAAACGUUUAAUUUAUUCAAACUAUUUGUUAGCUAUUCGG
Exaiptasia diaphana is the source of this 454-nucleotide long non-coding RNA. RefSeq lists it as uncharacterized. The record is from RefSeq and is a predicted model, not a curated record. Lineage: Eukaryota; Metazoa; Cnidaria; Anthozoa; Actiniaria; Aiptasiidae. The transcript has 3 exons.